RNA transcript from Columba livia (rock pigeon), 6762 nucleotides. It is a transcript of the gene named WD repeat domain 89, with no coding region annotated. The transcript has 3 exons. NCBI's taxonomy places the organism in Eukaryota, Metazoa, Chordata, Aves, Columbiformes, Columbidae. The record is from RefSeq and is a predicted model, not a curated record.
AGAACACUGGAGUUGCCCAUUCAUGUGGUGCUUUUGUUCAGCUUAAGAUGGCCCUGAAAAUCAUCAUUCUUGGAGUCGUGUCUUGUAAUUGCAAACUUGAAAGGACAUGGAAGGACUUUUUGAUUGUGGAACUCACAGAUCUGCCUUUAUAAAAUAGGAUUGUUUCUGCUGCAGUUUCUAUCAGCCUGAUCUGAGAAUAGCCAUGAGGGUAAAACAGAGCAUCUCUUAUCCUCCUAUUACUUUGCUGUCUCCUUUGUUGGCUGACCACCUCAACACCUGAAUGCAACAACAUCCUCCUACCUGGUGAGGUCACUACUAGGAAAACCUGCCCCCCACAAUUCUUAGAUCACUUGGCUGAUCUGUCUUCUGCUGUGAAGCGGUGCCAGUGAGGAGAGGUCUCCAAAGACAUUUUGCAUCAGUGAAGUGCAGCGUAUUAAUGCGUUCUCCUCAACCAACCUCGUGCUUUGCUUUUUUUUUUAUUUGAAAAUGCAAACCACAUGUCAUGUUGCAUGCAUGAACUGCUUUCCACUGCCCAGAGCUCCAGGUUUGUUCUUAGUUUGUUCUUGAACUUUUAAUAAUGGUGAAAAUAAAGGGAGGGUCAGUUUGCAUUGUUUAUAGUAGGAAAGAACAGCACAAGAUUUCAUCUACUGCUGUUCAAAUCCCUUGCUAUUUUUGGUAUUUGACCUCUGCGGAGAAGAUUGCCAAAACUACAGGUUGUUUUCAUUUUUAUUACGUGUUUCUACCCUCCUGCUUGUAAGUUACUCUUACGUUACUGAUUAAAUCUUUGAGGCAAAGUUCCAUUUAUCCCAUAUUUUCCACUAUAUUUUUCAGGGGUAAUUUUAUGUUUCUGUAUGUUGUUGAGCUAACAUUCCCUUUUGGAAAUGAGAACUGUGCCAUUUGGCAGCAUCUUGUGUAUACAGCUGAAAGGAGAAAGAAAAUAACUUAUGAAUUGCUGGAUUAAAGAGGACUCGUGAGCCUGUUGUCUGGAGUUGAGACUGCGGUGUUUAGAACAGUGAACAAAGAGCCCAGCAGAAUAUGCUGUGGCUUGUACUUGAAGGUCCAGAGGAGGCCACAACAAUGGUGAGAGAGUUGGAACAGCUCUGCUGGGAGUACAGGCUGAGAGAUUGGGGUUGUUCAGCCUGGGGAAGAGAGGGCUCCAGGGAGACCUUAUUGUGGCCUUUCCGUACUUAAAAGCGGCCGAUAAGAAAGAUGGGGACAGACUUUUUAGCGGGGCCUGUUGUGAUAAGACAGGGGAUGAUGGUUUUAAACUAAAAGAGGGGAGAUUCAGGCUGGACAUGAGGAAGAAAUUGUUGCCCCUGAGGGUGGUGAGAGCCUGGCCCAGGUUGGCCAGAGAGGUGGUGGAUGAACCAUCCCUGGAGACAUCCCAGGCCAGGCUGGACGGGGCUCUGAGCAACCUGAGCUGGUGAAGAUGUCCCUGCUCAUGGCAGGGGUGGCACUGGAUGAGCUUGGAAGGUCCCUUCCAACCCAAACUAUUCUGUGAAUAGUAAAUGUUUAGUUUGUGCUGAUAGGUGCUUACCUUUCAUUUCUCUGCCAUAGGAAAGGUGCUUGGGCACCUCUGGCUGUUUGCUUCUAGUCUUGCUGUAGGGUUAUUUCCACACCCCACUAGGGAGAUACACACCGCAAAGGCAUCUGAAAAUCCUGUUCUGCCUCUUUGACAUCCCUUCCGCUUCGUGCCUUCUGCUCUAAAAACCAAGCUUGUUUUUGUUUUGUUUUGUAAAAGAAGCCCUGUGGGAUGCCCUGCAGGUCAAAAUAUUUUAGGUUAUUUCAGAGGACUGUAUUAAUUCCGAGUUCUCAAGAUGUAAUGAGUUUUGAGUGUCCUUCAAGCAGCUUAUUGUUUCUGGUAGCUGCGAUAUGAAGGAGUUGUGCAGGGCGUUCUUGUAACUGCAAAGUUCAUUUAUGAAGGUAAUUCCAGAGGACUAGAUACCAUAACACAGAAGUUCCAGGCUUAGUUUGUAGAGGUGGCUUUACCUUGUUUCGAGGUGCAGAUGUGAAUGCAGAUGAGAGAUGCAGCUGCAACAUACAGCUGGUCACUGAGGAUGGGCUGCUGUGAGCUGGGGUGAGUGAAGAACCUGGAUUUAAUUAACUACCUCAUGUUCUGAGCAAAGGAGGUGCCUUGGGGAAAGAUUUUUUUGGCCAGUGCUCUCUCUGCCAUUUCUUCUGAGAAUGAAACAGUUCAAGAGCAAAUUGUCUGUCCCCUUCAAAGUCUUUGUGUCAGAUGGAUUGUCACAUCAGCAGGAGCAGUUUUCCUCACUGGUCAUCGCAACCGGCUGUUGUGCCAUAUCCAAACUGUCGGGUUUCAAAGAUACUGUCUUUGCCAAAGGAUUCUGGGUGACCAUAACAAAGCAGAUACCUGUCUUGUUGAAGUUAAGCUAAAAGUGCUUCAGUUCUGCGGUGCAGCGCUCCAUGUGCUUUGUAGGUGGCUGCAGUCCAAUGCUUAGUUAUCUUCCAUUGUGUUUGGAAGACCAUUGUUUCCUAUUUGUCUCAUAAAUUUAACACAGAUCCUAUUCCUGCCAUUUAAACUUUCCCAUCAAAAUACAACAGUGACUUCCCCUUCUGAAAAGGAAGGGCUGGCAGCUACACCCUGAAGUUUGAACAUGAAUUGUUUAUAUAACCUUCAAUCGCAAUUUCAUAAUAGUCUGAAGACUUUCUUACUAGGGCAGACGUUUUACUGAGGUUUUAGCCAAAAACUGGCUGCAGUCAGAUGCAGUGCUAAGGCUUCUUAGUUGUUGCAGUGGAAAUGGAAUUGAAAUCUGUACCCUCCAGCUUCCUGAUCAUAGAAAUUGCACAUCUAUCUGGAAACACGACCAGCAUUUUUUUGGUAUUUCAGAAUAGCUGUUGAAAAAAGGUCGUAGGUAGGCGCUGGGUAGAGACUCGAACUCUUGUGGGUUACUCUGAGCAGUAUUUAUUGUAGAAGAUUCACAGGAACAGCAGCGUUGGGUCACCUCCUCAGAGAGUGACAAUCAUACAGCAGUGUAACUAGUCAUUAUAUAGGGUUCUAACAAGUAUUAUGCAACUAAACAAAAUUUAUCACUGUCUAUCACUGUCGAUAUCUAUCACUGUCGACAUCCUCAGGUUCCUUCCGUUCCAGUGGUCUGUGGGUUCUACUUCUUCUUUCUUGGCAAGUACAGAACGACAGGUCAUCGGGUCGCAGGGCUGGCUUCUUUUGAAGUUCCACCUGUCUCAUUUGUUAUCCACAGUUCAUCAGUCUAGCAUAGAAAUCAGCAACCCUAAGAAUAGCAUUUAUCAAUGUCUUAACUAAGGGUACAAAGCAAGCAUAAGGUAACCACGCUCGUGGUUCUGGGUAAGGACUAUACAGGGGACAAGCUGAGACUUGCAGCCUUAGCAGCACAGCUUAUAACACUGAUAUAGGCCUAAAAUCCUAAUUCCUUAUUUUCCUACAACAGCUGUACCUGUGUCAUCCAGGGGUGAAAGCUCAAGAGCUAAUUUUAUUUCCCAGAAAAUAUUAUUAAAUGUGAAUGAACAUGCUUUUGCAGACUCUGGCUUUUUACAACUUCUGGGUACUUGUAGAGCCUCCUCGCUCUCCCCUCCCCAGCAGUAAAAGCUCUGACAUGAGUGUUGUAGAAACCGCUCAUUGAAUAAUAUUCUCUAUCAAAGUCAGUAAUAUUUAAACAACUGCAGCUCGCUUCCCAAAUGGAUGACAUUUGUCAGGAACAUGUCUGCUUGAGUUUACUUGGCCUUUUGAGUAUAAAAAGUCUGAAUAUUUAGAGCCUGAAAUUCAGGUCAGUCUGGAAAACUACAUUUUUCUUACAAAAAGUUUACAGAGAACCCAGGUUUUUUUAGUAACGUAGCACUACAGGAUAGCUGGUUUAUGAAAACCUUCUCCACCUGUAAGCAUGUGGUUUUGAAAUGGUGGUAAUCCAGUACAUGGGGUUAAGUAGAAGUUAUUAAUAAUAGUUUUUUUUCUUUAAAUUAAUAAUUUGCAUGGGUGUUGAAUAGUUUUGUGUUGGAGCAGAGUAGCAAACAGUGUUUGAGAACAGUCCGCUUUAUGUAAUAAUUCUUGUAAAAGCUGGUUCCCUUUGAGGAUAUACCCAGAAAAUAAGUCAGGAGCAGCUCUGUGGGUCGGGUUGUACACAGGCUAAUGCCAGAAAACAUGUUGAACUUCUUCUCUUCGGAGGGGAAUGGAGUUUCCACAGGAUGUCUGCGUUUUAUGGCAAAAAUUACUUGUAGAUGUGCUCUGAAACGUUGCUUUGAUGUAGAAGAUUAACCUGGGGCCCUCACUGUCAGGAUAUUACUGAGGCAAAUAGCUUAGUGACAUUAUUUGCGACUUGGGAAUUAAGCAUUUUGAGUGGCCUACUGAAGUUUUGUUUUAAUAAUUUGCUCGUUUGUCACAUGGCAUCGCGAAUAUUUGUCUGUACCAAAUAGGAGGAGGGAAAACAAAACCCUGAAACUACAAACACCACCAAGAAGAAAGAAAAAGAAGCCAAAUGCAGUUUUGUUGUAGCGGCUUUUCAUUUAUUGCUGGUCUCUCAUGGACCGUUAAAAUAAUUACCCUAAAACAAGUAAUACUUGGAAACUUGCUCAUUCCAUCCCUAAAAAUCCAACCUCAAGAAUUACCAGAAAAAAAUAUGAUGGGAUAGCUAGACAGGCAUGAGAAUAUUUUCUUGCAUUCUGGAGCUGCCUGAUUUUUACUCCAUUUUUGUGUGGAUUUUUUUCAAAAUGGUCCUUCCGUGCAUGUGAUAAUGUCGAGGGUUUAGAUUGCUGGGUGACAAUAAACCCCUGGCAGAUGUAUUGUUAACCCCCUCUCCUCCCCUCGCUUCCCCCUUUUUCCCCUCCCUCUUCCCCCUUCCCACUCAGCACAGGUGAUCGGGAGGAAAAGAAGGACAGAGAGAAGAGAGUUGGAAAAAAUUAAAGAUGUUUUACUGAUACUACUAAUAAGAAUAGAGAAAAUAAUACAAAAUAUACAAAACCAAUCUUGAAAGUCCCAGCAACUGCAGAGCUGGCAACCAAAGUCCUGGACUGGACUCUGCAGCCAACUGGAGCUGGAUUCAGUCUGUCACUGGCCUCAGUUUGCAGGGAUGACUAGCAAGGUCCUCUCCUCAUGUCGGCCAUAAGCAGAAGGGAAAGAAGAGGAAAAACGGGAAAGGGACGAGAUCCUCGUGAUCUCCCACUUUUAUAUGAAGUAUCAGGUGAAUGGAAUGUUAUACAUAGUUGGUCAGUUUCUUGGUCACCUGUUUCUCGUUGCCCCUCUCGCGAGAUGUCCAUCUGUCCUUAUCAGUAACUUCGCAUUCCAUUGCUGUGUUUACCGAAACAUAUAUCUGGUUCUCAAGGAAAAUGCAGCUCAUAUGAAGGCAAAUUCACUAAAAGAGAAACUUGUUUUUAAAACAAAACCAGGACAGAUAACUAGGAUUGGGUGCUGGCCUAGUCCUUAAGGAAAUAAGGAGAUUUUUGAGUAUUGUUUUACCCUUGUUUGCAUUACCUGAAAUACCUGUACCAUUGAGAAGUCACUGGAGUGUUGACUCCCUAAAACCCUCAAUGCUUGUUUGUUUUUAUUUUGUUUGGGGGGCUGUGUUUGUUUGUUUGGGUUUCGUUUUGUUUUAAACCCAGAAGAGUAGUCUAAUUGAACCUGUAAUUUAAACAGAAGUCAUUCAUGUGGAUGGUUAUUAUGUUUACUUAACGUACCCCACCUACAUCUUUCUUUUAAAAACGGUUGUAGUUUGUGAACUCUCUAAAAUGAUGUAUUGCUUAUGAUGGCAAAUAUCUCACUGAAAUGCUUCAGUACUUUGUCUGACUCUAAACUGAUGAAAGGCUUUCCUGCAAUUACACAAUAGGAUUUUCCUUUGUGUUAUAGAAAGAUGAACUGUCUCCUCUUCAUUUUUUUUCUGGACAUGCUGUUUUUUAGAAGACAAUCGAUGUAUGAGAGGACUGAGAGACUAUUUUUUAGUGUUGUUUUUGCUUGGUAAAAUCUGAACUUGUGUACAUCACUGCAACCGUACGAGUUUCUAGGAGGGUUCAGCAGGGCCAGAGAAGAAUUGCUUCUGAAGGGAAGAUUUUUAUCGGUUGCACUAAGAGCCAGCGUUAUGUGGUUUUAUAGGAGACUCGAAAACCAUUUAGGUUCUUAGGAGAAUUGAUGAAAAGGCAAAGGCGCUUAAUUCCAGUGAAUUCCACUGAUGUCAUGUAGCCUCUUUCGGUGGUCCAUGGUGUGCUGACAGGUGUUGAUCUGCGUCAUUGGGCACCUAAAUACUUGUAGCAUUUACCUCAUCUGGCCAUUUCAGGCUGUAGUUCUCCAUAAUUUUGGUCUUGUUCUCUGCCUGCCCUUUGCGCACUCCCCAGCAGAAAAGUUCAGCUGACAAAUCUCCUGCAGUUGUACUGAUGGAACUAUUUGUGGGCUGUGCCUGCUGGCAACCUUUUAAAACAAGAAGUACUCCUCUCCAGGUAGUGGUGAUGACUUCAUUUUCUUUCCACUCGUGGUGAACAUCACUUUACUUUACAAAAAUAAUAAAGCAAAUUUAGCUACGUGACUUUCACAGGAUUCACAAACAGACUAAUCUUUCAAGGGGAUUGUAUCAUGUAGCAUUUAGAGUCACACAAGACUGAACUCCUUAACUCAGGGAGACCUUUCCAGUUCUCUGUUGCUGUAAAUGAAGUUGUAGUGAGUAGGACAUCAGGAUAAUUGAAUUUUGACUGUGUGUCAUCUCCCAUGCAAGAUGUUUUUCACACAAGUUCUUAAAUCUAAUAUUAUUUCAGAAUGCUGUAAUUAAAACUCACCUUGGAUUUUAUUUC